RNAcentral lists this unclassified non-coding RNA (486 nucleotides) under Melitaea cinxia (Glanville fritillary). RNAcentral describes it as "misc RNA ENSMCXG00005012480.1". The record is from RNAcentral. Lineage: Eukaryota; Metazoa; Arthropoda; Insecta; Lepidoptera; Nymphalidae.
AAUUAAAUUUGUUACAGUUACAUUUGUUAUUUGUUGUCAACAGUUAAUUUUAGAUAUUGAUAUGAAUAAAUAAACAAUAUUCUGUUUAAAUACACAAAGACAGACAGAAUCAAACCAAGAGAGAAACUCUCAACCGUACCAAAUAUUCUCUAUUGUAUCUUCCCCAUUCAACAUGAUAUUGACGAAAUUUUUUUAUUAUAUUCAAAUGGGCUUCAGACGCACCUUCGAUUCGUCACUUUACAAAUAAAAAUUUUCCAAGUGAUUAUUAUUUUUAAAAGUGUGGCUACAACCAAUUCGGAAUGUAGAUUCGGCAGAGAAGAAUCGGCAAGAAACUCCGCAGUUACUCCUUUGAAAAUAAUAUAAAAAUUGUUGUAGUAUUCAAUUGAUAUUACUAGAAAAUAUCAAUUUUAUGGUAUUGUGUCAUGACAGCUGUAAGCUUUUUUUUUAAAUUUCUAUUUUGUAACUUGAGUAAAAGAAACAACGCAU